This 1287-nucleotide long non-coding RNA is filed under the name Canis lupus familiaris (dog). Its description in RNAcentral is "lncRNA (ENSCAFG00845001009.1)". Lineage: Eukaryota; Metazoa; Chordata; Mammalia; Carnivora; Canidae. The record is from RNAcentral.
CUCGUGCCGGCGCCUCGCCGUGGCUCCCCCGCUCCCGCGUGGACGCGGCGGCCGGGGCGCGGGGGGCAGCCACGCCUCGCCUCGGGAGGACAUGCCGAGGGGCGUCCCCCGCCGCCUGCCGAGGGCCGGGCCAGACCGAGCGCGCUGCCCGGCGGGUUCCGAGGGGAGCUGAACCUUGGCCUCGAGGGGGCGCUACCCGGCCCGUCCCAGCGCCCGAAGGCGGCGGAGACGCCCCGGGGUCGAGACCCUGGCCGAGGCCGGGGCGCGGGCAGCCUGGAUCUAGCCAGAGUCCUGGGGACGCGGGGGCGGAGAGCCAGAUUCCGGGGGACAAAGACGGGCGGGCCAGGGGACCCUCCGACGCUGGCCAGCCGCGGCCCCAACGAGCGCGGGGCCUGUGGCUGGAACAAACUUUCCGGCGGCGGAGGGGCGGGGGAGCCGGGCCGCAGGCUUGUCCCUCGAGCCGCCGCGCUCCUCCACCUGCCAGUGUUCAGCCUCCGCCCAGCCUGCGCCCACCCCGGCUCCCUCCCCUCCCCCGCGCCCGUUCGCUCCGACUCCUCAUCUCGCUCCUCUCCCCUCCUCCUUCUCCCUCUUGCCUUUCUCCCCCACUUUUCUCCUCUUUUUCCUCCCAUCUCUCCUUUUGUAUUCUCCCCCCCCCCCCCCGCGGCCCUGCUCGCUUCUCUCCUCCUCCGGGCCGCAGGGGAGGAGGUAAACGAGCUGCGCCCGGGGCCUGCGCGGCGCAGAGGAAGGCGUUUCUCCUACUUCUCCCGGGUAAUUUGGAGAGGUUGUAUGUGCGCGCGCGCGCGUGAGCUUAAGGCGAAAAGGGGUAGGAUCCGGCGCCCAGCAGAGAGGGUCGGGGUCUUUGACGUUCCUCGCCAGCUGCAUAAACCUCCCGGAACAAGUCUGAGUGUGGGUGAGAGUGCGCGCGCGCGCACGGGCUGGCUGCGCUUGGCACGCCUGGUGGCCCGGGGCCCCGGGGCCCGGGGGCCCGCCUGGCGGCCCGGGAUUACCGUGACGUCACAUCGAGCCUCUGGCCACCUUGGGCUGGGACACCUCGGGAGCCGCACAGCCCCGCGCCGCGCCGCACCUUGCCUCGCCACCGCGCGACUUUGGGAACCCGCGUCCUCUCCCUUUCCUUGCCCAUCCAUGGGCCCUUCUGUCUUCCGGACCACGCGGGCCGGAGGGGCGCCUUCUGGAGCGCAGGGCUCGGCAGCGGGACUGCCCCCGGCUCUGCCUCCAGCCGCGCCAAGCGGGCGGAGGACCCCGCGCGGGGCACCCGCAGCGGCGUAA